This 73-nucleotide transfer RNA is filed under the name Aquicella siphonis. It matches the Rfam family "tRNA". Rfam says of the family: Transfer RNA (tRNA) molecules are approximately 80 nucleotides in length. Their secondary structure includes four short double-helical elements and three loops (D, anti-codon, and T loops). Lineage: Bacteria; Pseudomonadati; Pseudomonadota; Gammaproteobacteria; Legionellales; Coxiellaceae. The record is from Rfam by way of RNAcentral. RNAcentral also lists the same sequence under 4 other names.
GCCCACAUAGCUCAGUCGGUAGAGCACUUCCUUGGUAAGGAAGAGGUGACCGGUUCGAUUCCGGUUGUGGGCU